Molecule: non-coding RNA, 1894 nt
Organism: Oryctolagus cuniculus (rabbit)
Lineage: Eukaryota; Metazoa; Chordata; Mammalia; Lagomorpha; Leporidae
Source: RefSeq, a predicted model, not a curated record
AUACAUACUGUGUCUCCUCCUCAUUCUCUAAACACCAAGAGACUCCUGUUGGUGCUUUAGCAUUGCUCCAAAUAGGCUGAAUGUCUCUUUGGUGAUACUAGUAACAGUCAUAGUACGAUGUUUUAUGUUUUACCAAGUACGACUACACCAAUUAUUUUGUUUUGUUCUAGAAGCAGCAUUGCCCUAGUCUUGGUUUCUAAGUACCAUUUAUCACAGAAUGGAACUGGAAGUUCUUGGGAAAAAAUGUAGCUGACCCCAAGUCUGGGAUAGGGAAAGUACAGAGUCCUUGGACAUCUUGUUAUGCCAGAAAGCAGGGAAGCACUGAAGAAUGAAAGGGAGUUUCAGAGGGACUUCCAGUGUCCAAAUUUGAGAUAAUUUGGCAUCAAAUAUAAUAAUUAUGGUAUUAGAGUAUGAGAAACUGAUAAAGGAAAAUCCUUGAGACAAUUGUGAUACAGAGGAAGAAGUGAGAAAGAGGCAAUAAGAUAGAACUAGAGACAGAGAUGGAAGACAGCAAGAGAGAGAGAGAGAUCUAUCCAACCCUAUAGCAGAGGAGUGACAAAAUUUUUCUAAAAAGAAUGCUAUGAGAGCAUAGAGGAGAAUGAUCUGCAUUCUAGGAUUCUAACUCCUGGUUCCUGUGACUACAUCCCAUGCUCUUCCCACUCUCCAACAUCGUUCCUGGACUUGAGGUUGGAGGGGUACUUCCUUACUUACCAAGCUCCUGAAGGUUUUUUCUCUCUCUGGAAAGUGAUAGAGAAGGACGACAUUUCAUGUUGACUCUACCAACCAUAACAAGGUGAGAAAAGGGAGCAUCUGCUCCCAUUUAAAGAAGACAAGGUUCUGCAUGUGUUGUUCAAUCUUGCCCAUGAUGAAAAGAUGGAUGGCAGUAAAUGGCCCUGAUCCCAACAAAUGGAAGUUAAACUCAGUCUCAGAGUCAGCUCCACAGGAAUCCAGCUUGUGACACAGACUAAAAAGAGGUUAACUAUAAGUAACAAUCAUGGAAACAAUUUGUUAUCUAUCUUAUCACACGGAGAGAAAGCCUCUUGAAGAUAUGAAGAGAACAGAGGGGAAUGGAGAAAGAACAAGAUGGGGAAGAAGAAAGGGAAGGAGAGUAGAAGGAGAAAACGGGAAAAGAGAAAUCAGAGAGAACAAGUGAAAGAAAGAGCAAGAACAAAGUUGAGCUAAAGAUCAUAAUGGCUCCUCAACUCCUUCAUCAAUUGUUUAUAUUUGAGAAGGUGAAUGGAUCACUUUCCCAGUUUCCAAAUCAUCUGAAAAGCACAGAACAUGACGUCACUACGGUAUCCAAGCUCCUUCGUUAAAGCCACCAGCCUGCGACGCGCCUCGCUGCAAGACUCCUGAGGAAGCUUUGGGACAUCAGGACAAACCUGGCCUUGAAUGCUAACCUUGCUGAGCAAUCUGCGCACUCACCAUUAGGGCUGCAUCAUGGGUGCCCACAAAACUUGGCCUCGUUUGAAAAGAAAAAUAGCUCAGCCAACCUUUGUGGUGAAGAUUUUGAAAGCUUAACAGAGUUCAAUUAAGACAGGAAAAGAGAAUUGCCUUAAUAAAUACAAUUAAAAAUAAUCUUCGCUUUUGAUUUUCCUCAAAAGAGCUCACUUUUCUCAAAUGAGGGAAACACAUUUGGUUUAGUAUAAGAGAGAUGAAUCGUAAUAAAGAGAACCUAAAAGGCUUUGUAUCAAGACAGAUUACUUCAAGAGCAAUAUUUAGGUGAUGGGUUAAGAGAACAGCUGGCACAAUUAAGGCUUGAGUGUGCACCCUGUGGUUGGGAGAAAAUGAAGAGCAUUUAAUCAUAUGGACACCGUGUAUUUUUCAAGAAAUAAAACCUCCAAUGUUGCUUUUCCCAGACCAAGGUUAGUGAAAAGCUCUGAGACUGUUUUUA